CGCCUUUUUGGAAAUGAUGGACGCUACACACAUAACAUACAAUAGUUUUGGCAUUGUCAACGGUUCCAGUAAUGUCUCUAGUGGCGUACAUGAUCCGAUCUGCAGGUACAAGAUGGGCCGUCUGACCGCAGAUGCAACAACCGGAAUCAGCUAGGCAUUGUUGCAUUUCUUCAAGGGUUAAAUCAACUUUAAAUCCUACAAAUUUCUUCAUGAUUAAGGUUUUUUGUAGUAAAAAAAAAAAAUUAUUUAUUUACCUGGAAUGGUUUCAAGUUUAUCUAGCGUACCACCCGUAAAACCAAGUCCUCGUCCCGAAACCAUUGGAACUUUUAAUCCGCAAGCAGCCAAAGCGGGUGCCAGGAUCUUGUUCAUUCAAAUACUGUGUUUGUCAACCAACACCGGUUUCCACUCUUCCGGCCAGGACAGCGUUUCGCCUUUCAAUCAAAGCCAAUUACCUGGAAUGGCUUCGAGUUUAUCCAGCGUUCCACCGGUGAAACUCAACCCUCGUCCAGACACCAUAGGCACUUUCAAUCCGCAAGCGGCCAAGGCUGGAGCUAGCACCUGAAAAAAAAAUGAUAUUUCCUAGAAAAGGAAAAAGGAUAGCAACUUACAUUCCAUUGAAGUACCAGGCCAUUAACAUCGCUCCUGUAAAACGUACAUUGAUACUUGCCUAAUUGAACUGGUUCGAUGCAACCCUUGACCAUUUCGUCGAUAAAGAAUUUUAUCUCUUCUGGCUCCAAUUCGUAUUUGUCCCUCUUCUUCUGGAUGACAUCAGG
RNAcentral lists this long non-coding RNA (773 nucleotides) under Daphnia pulicaria. RNAcentral's name for it is "uncharacterized LOC124343393, transcript variant X1". Lineage: Eukaryota; Metazoa; Arthropoda; Branchiopoda; Diplostraca; Daphniidae. The record is from RNAcentral.